RNAcentral lists this ribosomal RNA (252 nucleotides) under uncultured bacterium. Its description in RNAcentral is "partial 16S ribosomal RNA". It matches the Rfam family "Bacterial small subunit ribosomal RNA", at positions 525 to 776 of the family's 1533-position model. The record is from RNAcentral.
ACGGAGGGUGCGAACGUUAAUCGGAAUUACUGGGCGUAAAGCGCGCGUAGGCGGUUUAUUAAGUGGGAUGUGAAAGCCCCGGGCUCAACCUGGGAACUGCAUUCCAAACUGACAAACUAGAGUACGAGAGAGGGGGGUAGAAUUCAGAGUGUAGCGGUGAAAUGCGUAGAUAUUCUGAGGAAUACCAGUGGCGAAGGCGGCCCCCUGGCUUGAUACUGACGCUGAGGCGCGAAAGCGUGGGGAGCAAACAGG